This 618-nucleotide long non-coding RNA is filed under the name Phoenix dactylifera (date palm). Its description in RNAcentral is "long non-coding RNA (PDAC_LNC013311)". Lineage: Eukaryota; Viridiplantae; Streptophyta; Magnoliopsida; Arecales; Arecaceae. The record is from RNAcentral.
CCCUUUCUCCUUUAAGUCCAGAAGCCUUUCGACUCACUCUCGUAUGGCUCGCCCUCGAGACCUGGGCGGGCCCACUUCUACUAAGGCUGGGCUUAAUAGGAGCACCGAACCAGGACGGAACCACCAACACCCGAAAGGGAGUGGCUGCUCUCGACCCCGGUAAACGAAUGCUCUUCGAAUUGGUACCUAAACCCUAGUUAGUUCCUGCCACCUAUGCUGCUUUCGAUGCUUAUAGCCUUCGUGCCAAGGAAAGACGUCCAAAAGUUUUUUUUGCAUCCCAAUCAGUAUUUCUCUCCAAAGCCCGCUCUCCUCUGGUUUCAAUCUCCAUAACAGCUUGGCAGAUAGUGCUUUGACAGCCUUCUUGUACUAAGUGCAUCAUUUUGUAUUUCCAACUUUUGCUUUGUAACUGGGCCCCACUCGGAAUGGUUACUGGACAAGGGCGCAUUUGGUUCAAGAUUUCUUACUCAACUCCUAAGGGAGACGUUUUCUAAAAAGUGUCACAUUUUCCGAAACGCGGCUAGACCGAGGCAAAACAAGAGUGCAGCUUCAACCGAUCCCCGAUCUAGCGACAUCUUUGGCGGCCGAUUAAGGGCGUCUCAGCUAUCUCACCGAAUCGAC